UACAGAGGUCCCGAGCGUUGUUCGGAUUCACUGGGCGUAAAGGGUGCGUAGGUGGUGGGGUAAGUCGGAUGUGAAAUCUCGGAGCUCAACUCCGAAACUGCAUUGGAAACUACCCUGCUAGAGGGUCGGAGGGGGGACUGGAAUUCUUGGUGUAGCAGUGAAAUGCGUAGAUAUCGUGAGGAACACCAGAGGCGAGGGCGGCUACCUGGACAAUUGCUGACGCUCAGGCACGAAAGCGUGGGGAGCAAAAGGG
RNAcentral lists this ribosomal RNA (253 nucleotides) under uncultured prokaryote. Its description in RNAcentral is "partial 16S ribosomal RNA". It matches the Rfam family "Bacterial small subunit ribosomal RNA", at positions 524 to 776 of the family's 1533-position model. The record is from RNAcentral.